Non-coding RNA from Acanthosepion pharaonis, 99 nucleotides. The record is from the annotation of a GenBank genome assembly. NCBI's taxonomy places the organism in Eukaryota, Metazoa, Mollusca, Cephalopoda, Sepiida, Sepiidae.
CAUUGAAACACCGGUUCUCGUAUGAUCACCGAAGUUGAGCAACGUGGAGCCUGAAGAGUAUCUGGAUGAGGAAACGCUUGGGAAUACCAGGUGCUGUAA